Molecule: long non-coding RNA, 1951 nt
Organism: Scophthalmus maximus (turbot)
Lineage: Eukaryota; Metazoa; Chordata; Actinopteri; Pleuronectiformes; Scophthalmidae
Exons: 4
Source: RefSeq, a predicted model, not a curated record
AAGUGGCCGACCCUCCUCCUCCUCCUCCUCUUCCUCUCUCCUCUUCCCUCGACCGAUCCACUGUGCUACAGGCGCUCGCCCGCACGGAGCCUUCAGGGACUGUCGGGAAGUCUGAACUUGGUGAUUCCCUUACACUGCUUUUCAUUUAAGGGAAGGAAUCCUGGUGAUCCAAAAAGAUCAAGAGAAUGACGAGUUGGCAAAAAAAACAAGAUGGGGAAAGGCUCAAUCUUUGCUAUGGUCACGCACCUUCAUUAAAUUAGUCAAGGAAGAAUAGGAGUAGCUCAUGGCUUGCAGGGAUAUGUUGGGAUGAAGUUACACUGUCUUCUUUCCGGUGUAAUUCAGGCAUCCUGCUGCAUGGUCUCACUUUCUAUCCUAUGGUUGGGACUGGGUUCCGUUGGAGGAGAGCAGUCUGGUUCUCUCUUUUGCCGAGCCUCUGCGCUGCAGAACUCCCCCGCUGCCUCCUAUGCCUCCGCCAUCUGUUCGGUCGCCCCACUCGCACCUGUCGCCCCCGCCCUCGGAGCGCCUCGAGUUUUGGCGGGUGGGGGUCCCAUGGGGCCGGCCGUUCUUCUCAUCUGGGAAGGGAUCUGUAGAGGAGGACAAGAGAGUCACACUUCAGCCUCUGACCUAGAUUGACUAAUUGAUGCAUUGCGAAAAAGAUCCUGCCCUGACAAGGCUGCACAGGCUUAUGACUAUCGGGUCAUAUGGUUUUGACGCAGCGAUGGACGUCAGGGAUCGACCUAGAGUACUGUGACACACACACAGACACACACCCUGUGACACAGCAAAUGCUUGCAAUAGAUAUUGAACAUUUUGAAAAUGCGUAUCAGUCGAGAAUUCCAAACAAAAGCUCUCAACUCUGUAAACAUUCUCAGGCAGGAAGCUAAGACACACUGCAGACACACACACACACACACACACACCAUGCAUCAGUUAGUCCAUCAAUCAGAUUCCUACUAGUGUUCAUUUGCAAAUAUGCAAAAAAGGGCUCCUGUAUGUAUCUAAACAAGGUGAAAAAUCUUGUCUUACCAGAUAGGGCUUGCACCAUUGGUUGAUCAUGAGAGCUGAGAAGCUGAGCUUGAAUCGUUUCCACCACUCUUCUGAACCUGCGACUUGGACCUGGAGAUCAUCCAAGGCACACACAUACAACAGUCGCGAAUGAUAAUUGUGCCGUCAUGAUACCCAAGUUUCAGUGCCAAAUCCAAAACAUAUCUAUUUUCAGACCUACUUUUACUGUGUUUAAGGAUAUUUUUUUGACACACACCUUUUUCUAAUUUUGUAAAAUAGGCCAGACUUCUCAGAUGCAUCAUUACCCAGUGUCUACACAAAACACAGCCUUAUAUAACUCUCAUAUAACUCUCUGCCAGAAAGUGAUUAGGCCUAACCCUAAACGUCAACUUGCCUGAUAUGAGGGUGAACGUCACGCUGUAGAUUCCUGUCUCCCUCCUGCCCUCCCUCUCCGUCCUCUCCCUGUCCCGCUCCCUCUCGCCCUCUGAGAAGGCAAUGUCCACCUGGAACUUGACGGGUUUCUGGAAGACGGAGGGGCCGCCGGAGGACUUGUACUCGGCCCUGAAGCUGGUCUGGGAGAGGACGCUGUGACUGAGUGACGGGAUCUGUGUGGUGGGGAGACAGAGAAGAAGCAGAGAGACCGACAGACUUACGAGGCGGGAGAGGUACGGGGGCCAACCUGUAUCCAGGGCCCUGCGAGGCGGGGUGGGAGACCCCUGUUCAGUAACGCUCAGCACCUCCAGGCUUUUCCUCUCGGGGCGGCAGCGGCCGUGGCGCGUCAGCAUCGGAGAGUCGACACGCUUUCGAGGAGGGUCUGCUGAAGGGCACCACCGUAAAGUUGUAACCGGAUACACCAACAUCACUUCUAGCAGUGUAUAGCUCAAACUAUUAUAUGAUGUGUUGUGUAACUGCCAUAAAGGAAUAAAGAUGGUUUGUUUCGUUGCCA